This 699-nucleotide long non-coding RNA is filed under the name Helianthus annuus (common sunflower). RNAcentral's name for it is "sRNA HanXRQr2_Chr17g0822901". Lineage: Eukaryota; Viridiplantae; Streptophyta; Magnoliopsida; Asterales; Asteraceae. The record is from RNAcentral.
GGAAGGAAACUAUAAAGAUAAUUAUUAAAACCCAUUCCUACACACACACCAACUCUUUGCUCUCUCUCUAAGAACACCGAAGCUGGUAGCUUCUCCGGCCGGGAAACCGGCAAAACCGACAACGACAAGCAACGGCCGGCCACCGUGGCGGUGGUCCGGCGAGCGAGCUCCGAUGGCGGCGGAGAUGAUUUUUUUCCGCAGCGGUUAAACGGUACCCCCUAAACCACCAGGCCCUGAGCACAAUUCCGAUGGCGUUAUUUCGAUUAAGCAGCGAUCAGUGAGCUUACGAGGGACGGCGGCACAUCUCCACCUCCGACGAACACAGUUUACUGGGUGAUGCCGACAACGGUGAUGGUGGCUGAGGUGGUGACGGCGCGGUGGUGCGGCACGGACCGGCAACCCACUCCGCGACGGUGGCUCCGGCUACAGUAGCGGCAGUGGUGGUUAUUUUAUUUUUGUUUCAAGUUGCCAUGGUUUGGUUCAAGUUCAGUCAGAUGUCGGUUUGGGUGAUUCAUGUUCAGAUUCGGUUCUAAUUUAGUUCGGGUUCACGUCAGUUGUGGUUCGGCUUCGUGAAACGGGUCGACUCGGUACAACUCGGCUCGACCCGGUCAACUCACUAGUUGACUCAGUCAACACCUGGUCAACACCGGUCAAAAUGCAGUCAACUCAAAGACCCGGAAUGUCAUAGUUGCACGCUAG